Molecule: transfer RNA, 88 nt
Filed under: Corynebacterium lehmanniae
Lineage: Bacteria; Bacillati; Actinomycetota; Actinomycetes; Mycobacteriales; Corynebacteriaceae
Description: Corynebacterium sp. c8Ua_144 tRNA-Ser
Rfam family: tRNA
About the family: Transfer RNA (tRNA) molecules are approximately 80 nucleotides in length. Their secondary structure includes four short double-helical elements and three loops (D, anti-codon, and T loops).
Source: RNAcentral
GGAGACGUGGCAGAGUGGCCGAAUGCACCGGUCUUGAAAACCGGCGAGGUUAAUCCCUCCAGGGGUUCAAAUCCCCUCGUCUCCGCCA